Molecule: transfer RNA, 81 nt
Filed under: Pelagomonas calceolata
Lineage: Eukaryota; Pelagophyceae; Pelagomonadales; Pelagomonadaceae
Also listed under: 1 other name
Rfam family: tRNA
About the family: Transfer RNA (tRNA) molecules are approximately 80 nucleotides in length. Their secondary structure includes four short double-helical elements and three loops (D, anti-codon, and T loops).
Source: Rfam by way of RNAcentral
GCCAAAGUGGUGGAAUUGGUAGACACGCUGGGUUUAGGUUCCAGUACUUUUGGUGUAGGGGUUCAAGUCCCCUCUUUGGUA